UGGGGAAUAUUGGACAAUGGGGGGAACCCUGAUCCAGCCAUGCCGCGUGUGUGAAGAAGGCCUAAUGGUUGUAAAGCACUUUAAGCGAGGAGGAGGGUACUGGUAUUAAUACUACCAGGUACUGGACGUUACUCGCAGAAUAAGCACCGGCUAACUCUGUGCCAGCAGCCGCGGUAAUACAGAGGGUGCGAGCGUUAAUCGGAUUUACUGGGCGUAAAGCGUGCGUAGGCGGCUAAUUGAGUCGGAUGUGAAAUCCCCGAGCUUAACUUGGGAAUUGCAUUCGAUACUGGUUAGCUAGAGUGUGGGAGAGUAUGGUAGAAUUCCAGGUGUAGCGGUGAAAUGCGUAGAGAUCUGGAGGAAUACCGAUGGCGAAGGCAGCCAUCUGGCCUAACACUGACGCUGAGGUACGAAAGCAUGGGGAGCAAACAGG
This 430-nucleotide ribosomal RNA is filed under the name Pseudomonadota bacterium. Its description in RNAcentral is "Proteobacteria bacterium partial 16S ribosomal RNA". It matches the Rfam family "Bacterial small subunit ribosomal RNA", at positions 355 to 776 of the family's 1533-position model. The record is from RNAcentral. Lineage: Bacteria; Pseudomonadati; Pseudomonadota.